This 450-nucleotide ribosomal RNA is filed under the name uncultured bacterium. RNAcentral describes it as "partial 16S ribosomal RNA". It matches the Rfam family "Bacterial small subunit ribosomal RNA", at positions 354 to 796 of the family's 1533-position model. The record is from RNAcentral.
GUGGGGAAUAUUCCGCAAUGGACGAAAGUCUGACGGAGCAACGCCGCGUGAGUGAUGAAGGUUUUCGGACUGUAAAGCUCUGUUGUUUAGGACGAAAGUGCCUGUUGCAAAUAGUUACAGGUAUUGACGGUACUGAACGAGGAAGCCACGGCUAACUACGUGCCAGCAGCCGCGGUAAUACGUAGGUGGCAAGCGUUGUCCGGAAUUAUUGGGCGUAAAGAGCAUGUAGGCGGGAAUCUAAGUCUGUUGUGAAAAUGCGGGGCUCAACCCCGUAUUGGGAUGGAAACUGGGUUUCUUGAGUGCAGGAGAGGAAAGGGGAAUUCCCAGUGUAGCGGUGAAAUGCGUAGAUAUUGGGAGGAACACCAGUGGCGAAGGCGCCUUUCUGGACUGUGUCUGACGCUGAGAUGCGAAAGCCAGGGUAGCGAACGGGAUUAGAUACCCGAGUAGUCC